UGUAAAACUCGGGAUCAGCUAAAUUGAU
RNAcentral lists this small RNA (28 nucleotides) under Bombyx mori (domestic silkworm). RNAcentral describes it as "ovarian small RNA-35258". The record is from RNAcentral. Lineage: Eukaryota; Metazoa; Arthropoda; Insecta; Lepidoptera; Bombycidae.